This 368-nucleotide ribosomal RNA is filed under the name uncultured organism. Its description in RNAcentral is "bacterial SSU rRNA". It matches the Rfam family "Bacterial small subunit ribosomal RNA", at positions 526 to 896 of the family's 1533-position model. The record is from RNAcentral.
CGGAGGGUGCAAGCGUUAUCCGGAUUCACUGGGUUUAAAGGGUGUGUAGGCGGGUAUUUAAGUCAGUGGUGAAAUCCUACAGCUUAACUGUAGAACUGCCAUUGAUACUAUUUAUCUUGAAUAUUGUUGAGGUAGGCGGAAUACAUCAUGUAGCGGUGAAAUGCUUAGAUAUGAUGUAGAACACCGAUUGCGAAGGCAGCUUACUAAGCAAAUAUUGACGCUGAGGCACGAAAGCGUGGGGAUCAAACAGGAUUGGAUACCCUGGUAGUCCACGCCCUAAACGAUGAUUACUCGACGUGCGCGAUAUACAGUGCGCGUCUGAGCGAAAGCAUUAAGUAAUCCACCUGGGAAGUACGUCCGCAAGGAUG